UGGCGAGAGGCUUACAUUGUGUUCCAUUUAUCUCGGAACUUGGAAGCCGGAGCUGGUGAAUGACGUCACACCCGAGUUGACCGCGUUCCAUUUAAACAAGUUGAAUUGCACUGUGGGGUUU
Long non-coding RNA from Sander lucioperca (pikeperch), 121 nucleotides. RefSeq lists it as uncharacterized. The transcript has 3 exons. Lineage: Eukaryota; Metazoa; Chordata; Actinopteri; Perciformes; Percidae. The record is from RefSeq and is a predicted model, not a curated record.